GCAGAAGGAAGAUAUAGAUAAUCGGUCUGCUUGCGAGGGAGGAAAGAGGCGCAACGCAUUCCUGGAUGUUUGGUGGAAAAUUUACAGCUAAGAAAUAAAAGUUUACGACUGAAUCGGAACUUGGAUUGGCUGUAGCUGGUCAUGUGACUUCCCUCCAUGAACAUGAACUUUAUACUGUUGUCUGCUGAUUACUAGCUUUUUCCAUCCGUACAGGACCUACCUGUCCAAAGCAACAGCAUUUUUGGGGUUCUAUACAGGAAUUUGUUUUAUUUUGCUGCUCAUCUUCACGUUUAUCCAUUCACGUUGCUACCCCUUCUCUCCCUCUCGUUUUAUGAUUCCGUCCGUCUCUCUCUGUCUCUUUCCCUUUCUCGCGCAUCAGAACUGGAAGUAGAGCUUGAGUAGCAUUUUCGUUUACUGAUUUUGGAUGGUGAUUCUUCAGAGCCGUCCUAUUAGAAUACCAACGAGAUAUUGGAUAUUAAGUUAAGGGUUCCUCGGUCUCCAUGGUUUCCCUCACGCCUUUGUAGCUGCUGGACCAGUGAAUCUGCGUCAGCGUAGCCGCAAGCAUAACAUUGGAUCCAAGGUUUCCCAAGCAGGAUAUUGUCCAAAUCAUCACACUGGCUCCGCUGGCCUGCCUUCUUCCCAUGAUGCAUCCUGGUGUCAUGUCUUCUCCAGGUGCCGAAGAGCAGCAGACAGUCCAGAGUAGUAGGCAGGAAUGCAAAAAUAAUUGGACAGGACGACUUUGAAAGGCCU
This is a long non-coding RNA of Esox lucius (northern pike), 750 nucleotides long. RefSeq lists it as uncharacterized. The transcript has 3 exons. Lineage: Eukaryota; Metazoa; Chordata; Actinopteri; Esociformes; Esocidae. The record is from RefSeq and is a predicted model, not a curated record.